CAUCUUGUGGCUCAGUUGGUAGAGUGAUGGCUCGUAGUGCCAAAGGUCGUGGGUUCGAUUCCCACCAAGAUGU
Chrysoperla carnea is the source of this 73-nucleotide non-coding RNA. The record is from the annotation of a RefSeq genome assembly. Lineage: Eukaryota; Metazoa; Arthropoda; Insecta; Neuroptera; Chrysopidae.